This 450-nucleotide ribosomal RNA is filed under the name uncultured bacterium. RNAcentral describes it as "partial 16S ribosomal RNA". It matches the Rfam family "Bacterial small subunit ribosomal RNA", at positions 354 to 796 of the family's 1533-position model. The record is from RNAcentral.
GUGGGGAAUUUUGGACAAUGGGCGCAAGCCUGAUCCAGCAAUGCCGCGUGCAGGACGAAGGCCUUCGGGUUGUAAACUGCUUUUGUACAGAACGAAAAGGCUCUGGCUAAUACCCGGGGCUCAUGACGGUACUGUAAGAAUAAGCACCGGCUAACUACGUGCCAGCAGCCGCGGUAAUACGUAGGGUGCGAGCGUUAAUCGGAAUUACUGGGCGUAAAGCGUGCGCAGGCGGUUUUGUAAGACAGAGGUGAAAUCCCCGGGCUCAACCUGGGAACUGCCUUUGUGACUGCAAGGCUGGAGUACGGCAGAGGGGGAUGGAAUUCCGCGUGUAGCAGUGAAAUGCGUAGAUAUGCGGAGGAACACCGAUGGCGAAGGCAGUCCCCUGGGCCUGUACUGACGCUCAUGCACGAAAGCGUGGGGAGCAAACAGGAUUAGAAACCCUGGUAGUCC